This 253-nucleotide ribosomal RNA is filed under the name uncultured bacterium. RNAcentral's name for it is "partial 16S ribosomal RNA". It matches the Rfam family "Bacterial small subunit ribosomal RNA", at positions 524 to 776 of the family's 1533-position model. The record is from RNAcentral.
UACGUAGGGUGCAAGCGUUGUCCGGAAUUAUUGGGCGUAAAGAGCUCGUAGGCGGUCUGUUGCGUCGGCUGUGAAAACCCGGGGCUCAACCCCGGGCCUGCAUUCGAUACGGGCAGACUAGAGUUCGGUAGGGGAGUCUGGAAUUCCUGGUGUAGCGGUGAAAUGCGCAGAUAUCAGGAGGAACACCGAUGGCGAAGGCAGCUCGCUGGGACGGUACUGACGCUGAGGCGCGAAAGCGUGGGGAGCAAACAGG